Molecule: unclassified non-coding RNA, 347 nt
Filed under: soil metagenome
Description: partial contains 5.8S ribosomal RNA, internal transcribed spacer 2, and large subunit ribosomal RNA
Rfam family: 5.8S ribosomal RNA (bases 1-120)
Source: RNAcentral
GAUGAAGAACGUAGUGAAAUGCGAUAAGUAAUGUGAAUUGCAGAAUUCAGUGAAUCAUCGAAUCUUUGAACGCACAUUGCGCCCGCCAGUAUUCUGGCGGGCAUGCCUGUCUGAGCGUCAUUUCAACCCUCAUGCCCCUAGGGCGUGGUGUUGGGGAUCGGCCAAAGCCCGCGAGGGACGGCCGGCCCCUAAAUCUAGUGGCGGACCCGUCGUGGCCUCCUCUGCGAAGUAGUGAUAUUCCGCAUCGGAGAGCGAUGAGCCCCUGCCGUUAAACCCCCAACUUUCCAAGGUUGACCUCAGAUCAGGUAGGAAUACCCGCUGAACUUAAGCAUAUCAAUAACGGAGGA